This 610-nucleotide ribosomal RNA is filed under the name Salmonella enterica. Its description in RNAcentral is "partial 23S ribosomal RNA". It matches the Rfam family "Bacterial large subunit ribosomal RNA", at positions 2238 to 2842 of the family's 2925-position model. Lineage: Bacteria; Pseudomonadati; Pseudomonadota; Gammaproteobacteria; Enterobacterales; Enterobacteriaceae. The record is from RNAcentral. RNAcentral also lists the same sequence under 2 other names.
AUCCGGGUUGCGGACAGUGUCUGGUGGGUAGUUUGACUGGGGCGGUCUCCUCCUAAAGAGUAACGGAGGAGCACGAAGGUUGGCUAAUCCUGGUCGGACAUCAGGAGGUUAGUGCAAUGGCAUAAGCCAGCUUGACUGCGAGCGUGACGGCGCGAGCAGGUGCGAAAGCAGGUCAUAGUGAUCCGGUGGUUCUGAAUGGAAGGGCCAUCGCUCAACGGAUAAAAGGUACUCCGGGGAUAACAGGCUGAUACCGCCCAAGAGUUCAUAUCGACGGCGGUGUUUGGCACCUCGAUGUCGGCUCAUCACAUCCUGGGGCUGAAGUAGGUCCCAAGGGUAUGGCUGUUCGCCAUUUAAAGUGGUACGCGAGCUGGGUUUAGAACGUCGUGAGACAGUUCGGUCCCUAUCUGCCGUGGGCGCUGGAGAACUGAGGGGGGCUGCUCCUAGUACGAGAGGACCGGAGUGGACGCAUCACUGGUGUUCGGGUUGUCAUGCCAAUGGCACUGCCCGGUAGCUAAAUGCGGAAGAGAUAAGUGCUGAAAGCAUCUAAGCACGAAACUUGCCCCGAGAUGAGUUCUCCCUGAGACUUAGAGUCUCCUGAAGGAACGUUGAA